GUCCGUCCUUCAUAAGUUUUAUUUUCUUAUACAAAUUUGAGAUGUUUUAUUUUGUAUUUAUAAUUUUCAUUGCUCAUGUUUAUGCCCAUUAUAUUCAUAAAGCAAAGAUCCUCAUUAAACAUUUGAAAGUAUUAAUAUUUUCAGACCUCGACUGUGCCUUAUUUCAUGGAUGAAGGUUUAGUUUUGUGGUCAAGUCCGUAUCAC
This 204-nucleotide long non-coding RNA is filed under the name Mytilus galloprovincialis (Mediterranean mussel). Lineage: Eukaryota; Metazoa; Mollusca; Bivalvia; Mytilida; Mytilidae. The record is from RNAcentral.